RNAcentral lists this ribosomal RNA (654 nucleotides) under Microbacterium sp. Its description in RNAcentral is "bacterial SSU rRNA". It matches the Rfam family "Bacterial small subunit ribosomal RNA", at positions 153 to 820 of the family's 1533-position model. The record is from RNAcentral. Lineage: Bacteria; Bacillati; Actinomycetota; Actinomycetes; Micrococcales; Microbacteriaceae.
GAAACGGUUGCUAAUACCGGAUAUGCAUCANGNNNNCAUGGUCUGUGGUNNNNNNNAUUUUUCGGUUGGGGAUGGGCUCGCGGCCUAUCAGCUUGUUGGUGAGGUAGUGGCUCACCAAGGCGUCGACGGGUAGCCGGCCUGAGAGGGUGACCGGCCACACUGGGACUGAGACACGGCCCAGACUCCUACGGGAGGCAGCAGUGGGGAAUAUUGCACAAUGGGCGGAAGCCUGAUGCAGCAACGCCGCGUGAGGGAUGACGGCCUUCGGGUUGUAAACCUCUUUUAGCAGGGAAGAAGCGUAAGUGACGGUACCUGCAGAAAAAGCGCCGGCUAACUACGUGCCAGCAGCCGCGGUAAUACGUAGGGCGCAAGCGUUAUCCGGAAUUAUUGGGCGUAAAGAGCUCGUAGGCGGUUUGUCGCGUCUGCUGUGAAAACCCGAGGCUCAACCUCGGGCCUGCAGUGGGUACGGGCAGACUAGAGUGCGGUAGGGGAGAUUGGAAUUCCUGGUGUAGCGGUGGAAUGCGCAGAUAUCAGGAGGAACACCGAUGGCGAAGGCAGAUCUCUGGGCCGUUACUGACGCUGAGGAGCGAAAGGGUGGGGAGCAAACAGGCUUAGAUACCCUGGUAGUCCACCCCGUAAACGUUGGGAACUAGU